This 1055-nucleotide ribosomal RNA is filed under the name Amynthas sp. FJ201109-01. Its description in RNAcentral is "partial 12S ribosomal RNA". The record is from RNAcentral. Lineage: Eukaryota; Metazoa; Annelida; Clitellata; Crassiclitellata; Megascolecidae.
ACUCGAUAAUCCACGUAUACCAUUCCCCACCUAGACACUCAGCAUGUGUACUGCCGUUGUAAGCAUACCUUUAAAAGAGUAGUAUGCCCCUAUGACUAAUUACUAGCUCAUAUACAUCAGGUCAAAGUGCAGCCAAUGGUAGGGUGAUGAUGGGUUACAACCCCUAAACAGAAUAUCAACUAAGAAAUAAAAAAUCUUAUGAAAGUGGACUUGGCCGUAAUCAAUUUCAAAUUAAAGAAAUGAACAAUAUCUAAGACAUGCACACAUCGCCCGUCACUCUAUCCCAAAGGUUAGAUAAGUCGUAACAAAGUAGGUGUAAUGGAAAUUGUACCUGUCGAAGUAUAGCAUAUAUAAUGCUUUUUACUUACACUAAAAAUAAAGUUAAUAACUUACUUCGCUUGAAUAAUAUUAUCUUAUAAAUUAUUAGUAAUUAAAACAAUUAGAUAAUUAACAAUAUAAAGUACAGAAAUGGAAACAACAACAAAUCAAAGUAAAUUUUAAUAAAUGUACCUUGUGCAUUAUGGUUUUACAAGAAAAUAAUUAAAUACACUAAUCCCGAAUUCUGAGUGAGAUGUUAAAUUACUGCUAAGAACCCAUUAGUAACUGUGGAAAAAGUUUUAAGAGAUAAUUUAACAGGGGCUACAUACCAUCCGCGUAAGAAUAUAGCUGGUUUUCAACAAACAUUAUACAUUAAAACAUAUAAUUAUAUUAUAGUGUAACAUUAUUGAGGACAAGCCCAAUAAUCUGUGCUAUUAGCAUUAAUUAUUCUACCCAACUAAAUAGGCCUAAAACCAGCCAACUAAAAUACUUUAUCGUAACGUAAGUAGAUAUAAUAUAUAAUAUGUAAAUGCCCAAAAAAGUUGAAAUGGCUGGAAAACCCAAAACCUGUCCCUACUAUGUAAAAAUAAGUAUUAUAAAUUAAUAAAUAGUAUAAUCUAGUAAAAGCAACUCAUAUUAUAACAAUAAUUAAUUAAGGAACUCGGCAAACUAUUAUUUCGACUGUUUAACAAAAACAUUGUCUUUUGAAUAAAAUACUAGAUAAUACCUGCCCAGUG